Pelobates cultripes (western spadefoot toad) is the source of this 212-nucleotide non-coding RNA. The record is from the annotation of a GenBank genome assembly. NCBI's taxonomy places the organism in Eukaryota, Metazoa, Chordata, Amphibia, Anura, Pelobatidae.
CUUACAGACACCCAAUGCACCCCUAACAGACACGCACACUGCAUCCCUUAUAUACACAGAAACACACCUUGCAUUCCUUAUGCAUACAAACACAGAUUCACACAAUGCAUCCCUUACACACAACCAGAAACACACAAUACAUCCCUUAUACACAAACACUCACUGCUUUCUAUCCCUUACACAAAAACACACUGCUUCUACUACACACAAAC